Molecule: unclassified non-coding RNA, 364 nt
Filed under: Hevea brasiliensis (rubber tree)
Lineage: Eukaryota; Viridiplantae; Streptophyta; Magnoliopsida; Malpighiales; Euphorbiaceae
Source: RNAcentral
AGAAGACUUUGGACAAGUUAAAUGGAGCUGAUGAUUCCAUUUCCUUUGGCGGAGGUGCCAAAUGUUCAAGUACCCAUUUUGUACAAGCGAUAGACAGUGAUAUUGAUCGGAUUAACUCCCACCAUUGAUCUUCGAUUGAUGUUGGUGGUUCAUUUCUUCCUCCUUUCAAUGCUGAAGAGGAAGCAUGGCAAACGAUUUGCUUGGGUAAAAGUCGUGGAUUAAGUUUCUCAGAUCGGGAGGAAAUGUUAGCAGACUUCUACCUUUGUUUUGUUUUCGGUGUUCAAAGAUUUCAUCGCUUUAGUGUGGUAUUUUAUAUCCCGGUUUAUUCUUAUUUCUUGAGGCUACGUGGUUUUUCUUUAUUUCA